CUGGGAACUUCCAUAUGCCAUGGGUGCGGCGCUAAAUGGAUGUGGCGGGGGAGAAGAAGCAAAUGCGAUAAAUUGCUAAAGACUUUUUUUUUCUGUGUUACUACUCUGUUCAAAGCAAAAGCUCUACUGUAGAAAAAUCGUGACAUGGCAAUUUUGGACCACCUUUCCCCUAGAAGUGGUCACAUUGAGGACGAUAUGGAUCAUUUUUUCUUUCCUUAUCCUGCAGAGGAUGGAACUGGUUCCAAAGAAAGGACUUCCCUGGAAUGAGAGAUCAACUAGGUGUGAAAAAGCAUCCCAAAGCCUCUGGACUCACUGCCAAUGCAAUUAGCUGCUACGAAAUUUGGGUAGGGAGUGUCGUGUUUCUGGAAGUGUCCAGAGGGAGCUUGGAUGAGCAAUUCUUGGAAAGAUUUUUAAAGCUUGCCCCAAGAACUUGCUGCCAUACGAGAGACCCUCAAAGGACAUUGGAUAUUUACCUUGAAGAAAAGAAAACUCUGCUGGGAGAGAGGGGUGGUUAAGAAACACUAACCCGUUUGAUAAUUUUGUGAGUACAGGGGAGCUGAGCUAUUGCUGUGUAUUCCUGUGGAGAAAUAAAUAGUAAUAGAAAUUA
Long non-coding RNA from Phacochoerus africanus (Common warthog), 607 nucleotides. RefSeq lists it as uncharacterized. The transcript has 2 exons. NCBI's taxonomy places the organism in Eukaryota, Metazoa, Chordata, Mammalia, Artiodactyla, Suidae. The record is from RefSeq and is a predicted model, not a curated record.